UCAUACCAGCCGGGGGAGUAGCGGAACCCUGUACCUGAAAUCCGCUAUAGCAGGGGUAGAUUCCCGGCACGAGGAUUGCGUCUGUGUGGUCAGCACCGUUUGCAGACGUGUUGAGAAGCGGGUCUUGCGCAAUCGCUCGCUGUGAACCAUGUCAGGUGGGGAACCAAGCAGCAUUAAGCAGAUUGAGUGAUGUGCCGCAAGGGUGCCUGUUUUGAGCGUCUGCGGCGGAAAGCGAGCGGAGAGGUAGAUUCGACUGUCGGGUGUAUGA
RNAcentral lists this signal recognition particle RNA (268 nucleotides) under Clostridiales bacterium. Its description in RNAcentral is "signal recognition particle sRNA large type". It matches the Rfam family "Bacterial large signal recognition particle RNA". Rfam says of the family: The signal recognition particle (SRP) is a universally conserved ribonucleoprotein involved in the co-translational targeting of proteins to membranes. Archaeal SRP consists of a 7S RNA and homologues of the eukaryotic SRP19 and SRP54 proteins. Lineage: Bacteria; Bacillati; Bacillota; Clostridia; Eubacteriales. The record is from RNAcentral.